UGUUAAAUAUUUUAUUUAUUUGUAUUGUUAAAAAUUGACGUGAUUUACAGAAUAAUUAGACAGUAACAUAUGACAUGCUAUGUAUACCUCAUAUUGAUGUAUAUAGAUCGAUUUUUAACAGCAUAAACUGAUAAAAUUUUUAACA
Molecule: non-coding RNA, 145 nt
Organism: Gossypium hirsutum (cotton)
Lineage: Eukaryota; Viridiplantae; Streptophyta; Magnoliopsida; Malvales; Malvaceae
Source: Rfam